RNAcentral lists this long non-coding RNA (1722 nucleotides) under Sus scrofa (pig). RNAcentral's name for it is "lncRNA (ENSSSCG00040059245.1)". Lineage: Eukaryota; Metazoa; Chordata; Mammalia; Artiodactyla; Suidae. The record is from RNAcentral.
GGAGGGGGGGAGGAGGAGGAAGGGGCAGGGGGUCCACAUUGCAGAGGCGAGAAACCGGUGGCUCACAGCUUCUGGCUCAUUUGUGUUAGAAAGUGGAUAAUAACCAGGAUUUGGACCAAGCCGGCCUCUUUCCGCUUCCCCUCAUUCUGCGGUUCCUUCCCUGUGCCCCGCCUCCCGGUCUCAUUCAGGCUCACGCAUCCUUGCCCUCCCCCAGGUUAUCCUAGUGCCCGGCUGGCCAAUACCCGUGGCCAGUGUGUCCUUGUCUAAAUCCUCCCUCUGUCACCACCAGCAGCGAUUCCGUCUUGAGACCUUCAAGCAAUCAAGCGCAUUGCCCUGGCCCCGCCUCGCACCUCCUCGGCCUGAUGCUUCCCCACAACCUGACCACUUCCCUCCAGCUCCCACACCAGCCCUCCUUCUCGGGAGAUCAUGCCAUCUUUGCCCCACAGGCAACUCUCCUGCCGGUCGGUCAGGCACUGGUCCCAGACUCUAGACGGAGCUUGCAGAACCUUCUUGGCCUCUGGAGUGCCCUGAGCAGGAAGGACGGGGCCCUUACUGAGGGGUCUGAACCUCUGCCCCCACGCCCCCCUCCAACCAGAGCAGGGAAUUUUCCUGCUCCGUUUACUGACAACUUGCUAACCUCCCCGGGACCUCUUCUGGUGCUGCCUCCCUCUCGGCUUGGUCCUUGGGUAACAGAGCAGCUACCCUGUUGCCCCCUUUCCUGACUGUAAACAGAGAGAAUGACAGCCCUGCCUGCAGGAGCCCUGAGAAGCAAGGAAUCAGAGCUCGACAGCUGGAGUCUCUUGGGAAGGACAGGCCGAGGCGGCUGGCCUGGGUUCUUGUGUUGUUCCCCCUUGUGGAGCUCGCAGUCUCUUGGAGGUUCCAGCACGUCCUGGGCAAGAGUUCUGAGCGAGCCGAGGACCAUGUCCGUCUCUGACUGUGCUGAUCCGCUGCAAGAGCCCUGGAGUCAGCGCGCUGGCUCCCAGCCCCUCUCUCCAGCUCCUGCUCGGCCACCGUCUGGACCACCACUGCCCAUAGCUAGACGUAGGUUUUCUAUUCCAAAGAGGUGAACCAGAGAGACCUGGCAUGCCCUUGGCGCCAGGGGCAGCUGGGACUCUGAAGGCAUGAAGCCGAGAUAAAGCUGGAACUCUAAGCAUGGGGUGGACUGAACAGGAGGUGUGUGUUCCUGUGAGUGGGUCGCUCUUGGGGUUCAAGGAACAAGAUCUGGACUUUGGGUAAAACUCACUGGCAAAGUAAGCCAACCACCACGAGGAAAGACGACUGGGGUAGGUUUGGGGUUUGACUGAUAGAUUGUGGGGAGCAGCUCUCCAUCCACUGGAGAAGCGGCCCCAAGGACGGUGGCGAGGGUGGCCCGCCCGGCUGGGGCUGGUGGGGUGGAUGCCCUCGCUCGGCUGGAAUGUAAUCCAGGACAAUCUGGGUGACCCCUGGCUCUCAUCCACCUGUUUCUUUGUCAUGUGGUUCUAUCUUUUUCCUGGAGAUUUUCUUGAGUUUUAUCUUGCAGGUGUUCUGUUGAAAUGUUUAUUUCAGUACUUGUGUGUUGUUGCCAGUCUUUUAAUUGUUCAUACACUUAGUUUUUGCACUAUUUCUUUUUUCUUUUUACGUUCCCUUUAUUUUAUUUUGGAAUCUUAAAGUGUUAUGCAUUUUUUCUUCUCUUUUUACGGCCACACCUGUGGCAUAUGGGAAUUCCCAGGGGUCAAAUCGGAG